AGGUCUUGACAUACCAUGAAAAGCUAAGAGAUUAGUCUUUCCCUUCGGGGACAUGGAUACAGGUGGUGCAUGGUUGUCGUCAGCUCGUGUCGUGAGAUGUUGGGUUAAGUCCCGCAACGAGCGCAACCCUUAUUAUCAGUUGCCAGCAUUCAGUUGGGCACUCUGGUGAGACUGCCGGUGAUAAACCGGAGGAAGGUGGGGACGACGUCAAAUCAUCAUGCCCCUUAUGACCUGGGCUACACACGUGCUACAAUGGUCGGUACAACGUGUUGCGAACUCGCGAGGGCAAGCAAAUCACUUAAAACCGAUCUCAGUUCGGAUUGUAGGCUGCAACUCGCCUGCAUGAAGCUGGAAUCGCUAGUAAUCGCGGAUCAGCAUGCCGCGGUGAAUACGUUCCCGGGCCUU
RNAcentral lists this ribosomal RNA (405 nucleotides) under uncultured Lactobacillus sp. RNAcentral describes it as "bacterial SSU rRNA". It matches the Rfam family "Bacterial small subunit ribosomal RNA", at positions 976 to 1382 of the family's 1533-position model. The record is from RNAcentral. Lineage: Bacteria; Bacillati; Bacillota; Bacilli; Lactobacillales; Lactobacillaceae.